GAUCGGAGACUGGAGCCGGUGUGUGCUGGGCGCUGGGAAGAGACAGCGCCGCCGGCCGUGGGGAUCUGACGCAGUGAUUUGCUCCCUUACCCUCAACAACCCCCACACCCAGCACCAGUCUAGGCCCCCAGACUCUCCUUCCAGCUGAACUCCCUGGGAACAAGUCAGUUGGGCUGAUCACUGAACUCUCAUUUCUGGAACUGAGGAUCCUGAUUCUCUCACAUCCUCAUCUGGCUGAGCCGCAGUAGUUCUUCAGUGGCAAGCUUUAUGUCCUGACCCAGCUAAAGCUGCCAGUUGAAGAACUGUUGCCCUCUGCCCCUGACUUCGAGGAAGAAGAGGAAGAGGAGCUGCUUUCUCUAUCAUCUGGAAGGUGACAGAAAUGGGGCUGCAAAGGUCUAAAUAGUGGGGGUGAUGAUACCUUUUGGAAAAGGGAACCCUGUUUAGUUGGAGAGCCCCAUUGGUCCAGCAAGAGAGCAGUUUUAGAUUAGAGACACUGGCUGAAUUGGAGAAUAGAAGGCUUGAACUACCCAAGGUUACUUGGUCUAUGUGUGACAAUGGGAAGAAGUGAAGAGAAAAACUCUUUAUGCAAAUUUCCUUCUUGAUCCACCUUCUUUAUCUCCCAUUCUUCCCUACUGGCCUUUCCAGGUAUCCUCCAAAAGUAAGUUUAGUCUUCAGAGAAAAAGUGAUACUGAAACUCUGAUCUGAGCAGUCAUCCCUCUGCUCUUACCUUUCCGUGUAUUUCCCUAGACCAGCCUAGACUCUAGAUUCAGGGGUACUUACCUAUAUCUGGGACCCUUAGACCUCCUGUCUUAGUUUCUCUACCUGUGAGAUAGGGAGCCAUACAGAUGAGUGUACAUGAGGGAAUCAGAAGCCCACCUGUGCAAACUCAGAGCCUGGGUUCUCCUCCACGUAUGGAUAAGAAUAAAAUACCUGGGCAGUGCCUUUGGCUCAAAGGAGUAGGGUACUAGCCCCAUAUGCUGGAGGUGGCAGGUUCAAGCCCAGCCCCAGCCAAAAACUGCAAAAUAAAAAAAUAAUAAAAUACCUUUCACAUGAGUUUUUGUCCAUUCCCCAUCCCUGACACCAUAACUUCAGGAGUUGGGGACCAGAGGGAGUUGGAGGGGUUAGACCAAAGUAAGGGACUAGAAAGAGAUGGGUCUAUAUACUGGCUUCCCAUCAUGCAAGGUCCAUGGAGUCCCCUGCCAUCCAAAGCAGGAUGGAAGCCCCAAUGGCAUUCUUGGGUUUUUUUUUGUUUGUAUUUUUUUUUUUCUCUCUUUUUUUAAGACAAUGUCUCAUGCUAUCACCCAGGCUAGAGUGCAGUGGCAUCAUCGUAGCUCACUGCAACCUCAAAUUCCUGGGCUCAAGCAAUCCUUUGCCUCAGCCCCCCAAGAGUAGCUGGAUUACAGGCCAGACUACCAUGCCUAAUUUUUCUUUUUUUUUGUAGAGAGGGGUCUUGUUCUUGCUCAAAUUGGUCUCAAACUAGUGACCUCCCAAAGUGCUAGGAUUAUAGGCGUGAGCCACUGCCCAGCCCCCUGAUGGUAUUCUACUUGGUGCUGCUCAGUUUCUUCCCUUACUUUGCUUUCCAAGAUGGUAUGUAAGACAGCUCAGUCCUGUAUACAGGCAGGAAAUUCUCCCUUCCACCAACCAGGACAGCUGAAUUAUGGGACGUGAUCCCCUUUGGGGCAUCAAGCAGUGUAAACCUGCCACCUCCCGCUCCUGAUCCAUUCUUAUUCUUGGGCUUAGGUGCUCUAAUGUGGUUCAGUCUUGGCCCAAUCUCCCUACCUGAAGGUGGCCAAGUUCAUGGGUUACAGGAAGCUAUUUAUUCUAUGUGGUGGGAAGAGAUGUGCAGGAGGUCUACCUUAUUCUCCAUUUAUGAGAAACUGAAAGAUGUAGAGGAAAGGAGAUAAUUAGCCCCACUCCUCUUUAGCUUAAGCUGAGGGACAGGAUGUAUGUGGGACAGCAAUAGAGGAGGUAGACUGAGUCCACACAUUGCUGUGUUCUUGGACAUUGCCUCUGUCAUUUCUUCCCCUCUUUGCUUCACUGGCCAGCAUGUCCCUCCAGCCCUAGGAAUAUGGCUCUGCCAUCUUCACCCAUCAUGGUGAAGAAGGGCAGCCUGGGAACACAGAGACCAGUGAAGGACCAGACCUGGAGAGCACAGGGCCCUAUCUGGACAUUCUUCAAGGGGGCCCAUAAAGCCCAGGAGCCCAAGAGGAGAGAAAACAGCCAGCCUCUGACAAUGACAAGCUUCCAUCCAUCUCCUACUUCACUUACCGGUUCUCUCCAGUCUUUUUGCGCCCCUCAGAGAUGGGGAACCAUAGGAAAGCAUCCUGUGACUUCACCCUCCUACUUUUUUCUCAGCCUGUAAUUUUUACAUAACAGCCUCUAGGAGCAAAAGCCAGCUGUGAAAGAACAUACAGGAAGUUCACAACAAACUCAAAUGGAUAAAACCAUGAAAGAAAUAUAUAUUUCAUUAGUAAUUUAAGAAAUAUAGCUGAGGGGCGGUGCCUGUGGCUCAGUGAGUAGGGCGCCGGCCCCAUAUACCGAGGGUGGUGGGUUCGGACCCAGCCCCGGCCAAACCGCAGCAGAAAAAUAGCCGGGCGUUGUGGCGGGCGCCUGUAGUCCCAGCUGCUCGGGAGGCUGAGGCAAGAGAAUCGCGUAAGCCCAAGAGUUAAGAGGUUGCUGUGAGCCGUGUGACGCCACGGCACUCCACCUGAGGGCUGUACAGUGAGACUCUGUCUCUACAAAAAAAAAAAAAAAAAUAUAUAUAUAUAUAUAUAUAUAUAGCUGAGAGCAUUUUUCCUUUAGCAAACUAUAACAGAAAAAGGACCUAGCACUGGCGAAAGAGUGCUGAAAUAACACGCUACAUUGGGAAUAUAAAUUGGUAUAUCCUUUCAGAUGGUAGUUUGGUUAUAUGUAUCAUAUGCCCUAAAAGUUUCCAUGUCCUCUGACCUAGUCAUUCUAUGUCUGGGAAUUUAUCCUAAGAAAAUAAUUAAGGAUUUAGUUAUAAGAUGUUCAUCCAGCAUUGGCAAUAGACAAAAAUGAGAAGCAACUGUUUGAUUGGGAAUCCAUUCCUUUUCUGCUGUAAUGAAAAUUUGCAAUAGGGAUUGCUUAAGUAAAUUAUUGUAUAUCCAUCCAGAUGGUAGAGUACUGCACAGCUAUUAAAAGUCAUGGAGAAGAACAUUUGACUAGAAAGAAAAAUGCUCUUUGAACAUUAAAAAGGUUAUAAAA
Nycticebus coucang (slow loris) is the source of this 3225-nucleotide long non-coding RNA. RefSeq lists it as uncharacterized. The transcript has 3 exons. The record is from RefSeq and is a predicted model, not a curated record. Lineage: Eukaryota; Metazoa; Chordata; Mammalia; Primates; Lorisidae.